UUCCCUACGGGACGCAGCAGUGGGGAAUAUUGCACAAUGGGGGAAACCCUGAUGCAGCGACGCCGCGUGAGUGAAGAAGUAUUUCGGUAUGUAAAGCUCUAUCAGCAGGGAAGAAAAUGACGGUACCUGACCAAGAAGCCCCGGCUAACUACGUGCCAGCAGCCGCGGUAAUACGUAGGGGGCAAGCGUUAUCCGGAUUUACUGGGUGUAAAGGGAGCGUAGACGGCUGAGCAAGUCAGAAGUGAAAGCCCGGGGC
Molecule: ribosomal RNA, 256 nt
Filed under: uncultured bacterium
Lineage: Bacteria
Description: partial 16S ribosomal RNA
Rfam family: Bacterial small subunit ribosomal RNA
Source: RNAcentral